Daphnia carinata is the source of this 282-nucleotide long non-coding RNA. RefSeq lists it as uncharacterized. Lineage: Eukaryota; Metazoa; Arthropoda; Branchiopoda; Diplostraca; Daphniidae. The record is from RefSeq and is a predicted model, not a curated record. The transcript has 3 exons.
CGUUAUUACAGGCAUGUAAGCAAUUUGAGUUAAUUGUAUCCCAUUAGCAGUUAAUUGAGUAGCGUGGCUGGAGAACAACGCGUGGCUGGAGGAACAAUUGAAAAAUGGAUAAGAUAAUAAAACAAAAAAAUGAUCAAAUUAUGAAGCUGCAGGCCCAAUUAUUGGAACAACACAAAAUAUUAGAUAACAGCAAAGCUAAGGAUGCUCAAAUUUUGAGUCUACAAGCUCAGCUAGGGGAAAAGAACAAAUUGGAACAGAACAGUUUCCAAACAGUGAAGGAGG